RNAcentral lists this ribosomal RNA (424 nucleotides) under uncultured bacterium. RNAcentral's name for it is "partial 16S ribosomal RNA". It matches the Rfam family "Bacterial small subunit ribosomal RNA", at positions 354 to 796 of the family's 1533-position model. The record is from RNAcentral.
GUGGGGAAUCUUGCGCAAUGGGCGAAAGCCUGACGCAGCCAUGCCGCGUGAAUGAUGAAGGUCUUAGGAUUGUAAAAUUCUUUCACCGGGGACGAUAAUGACGGUACCCCUGGAGGAAGUCCCGGCUAACUACGUGCCAGCAGCCGCGGUAAUACGUAGGGGGCGAGCGUUAUCCGGAAUUAUUGGGCGUAAAGAGUACGUAGGUGGUUUUUUAAGCGCAGGGUUUAAGGCGAUGGCUCAACUGUCGUUCGCCCUGUGAACUGGAAGACUUGAGUACAGGAGAGGAAAGCGGAAUUCCUAGUGUAGCGGUGAAAUGCAUAGAUAUUAGGAGGAACACCAGUGGCGAAGGCGGCUUUCUGGACUGUAACUGACACUGAGGUACGAAAGCGUGGGGAGCAAACAGGAUUAGAAACCCUGGUAGUCC